This 498-nucleotide ribosomal RNA is filed under the name uncultured bacterium. Its description in RNAcentral is "bacterial SSU rRNA". It matches the Rfam family "Bacterial small subunit ribosomal RNA", at positions 899 to 1397 of the family's 1533-position model. The record is from RNAcentral.
ACUCAAAUGAAUAGACGGGGGCCCGCACAAGCGGUGGAGCAUGUGGUUUAAUUCGAAGCAACGCGAAGAACCUUACCAAGAAUUGACAUCUACCCUUAACCUGUGGAAACACAGGAAGCCUUUUGGCGGGGUAAGACAGGUGGUGCAUGGUUGUCGUCAGCUCGUGUCGUGAGAUGUUGGGUUAAGUCCCGCAACGAGCGCAACCCUUGCGUCUAGUAGCCAGCAUUUAAGGUGGGCACACUAGAGGGACUGCCGUGGAUAACACGGAGGAAGGUGGGGACGACGUCAAAUCAUCAUGCCCCUUAUGACUUGGGCAACACACGUGCUACAAUGGGUUUUACAAAGUGAGGCGAGACGGCGACGUUAAGCAAACCACAAAAAGAAACCCUCAGUUCGGAUUGCAGUCUGCAACUCGACUGCAUGAAGUUGGAAUCGCUAGUAAUCGCAAAUCAGCAUGUUGCGGUGAAUACGUUCUCGGGCCUUGUACACACCGCCCGU